This 7166-nucleotide long non-coding RNA is filed under the name Triticum aestivum (bread wheat). Its description in RNAcentral is "long non-coding RNA (TAES_LNC007286)". Lineage: Eukaryota; Viridiplantae; Streptophyta; Magnoliopsida; Poales; Poaceae. The record is from RNAcentral.
GAUACCGUAGGAAUGCUUUGGGUGUACCAAAUGUCACAACGUAACUGGGUGGCUAUAAAGGUGCACUACAGGUAUCUCCAAAAGUGUCUGUUGGGUUGGCACGAAUCGAGACUGGGAUUUGUCACUCCGUGUAAACAGAGAGGUAUCUCUGGGCCCACUCGGUAGGACAUCAUCAUAAUGUGCACAAUGUGACCAAGGGGUUGAUCAUGGGAUGAUGUGUUAUGGAACGAGUAAAGAGACUUGCCGGUAACGAGAUUGAACAAGGUAUCGGGAUACGACGAUCGAAUCUCGGGCAAGUACAAUACCGCGAGACAAAGGGAAUUGUAUACGGGAUCGAUUGAGUCCUUGACAUCGUGGUUCAUUCGAUGAGAUCAUCAUGGAACAUGUGGGAGCCAACAUGGGUAUCCAGAUCCCGCUGUUGGUUAUUGACCGGAGAAUGUCUCGAUCAUGUCUGCAUGGUUCCCGAACCCGUAGGGUCUACACACUUAAGGUUCGAUGACGCUAGGGUUAUAAAGGAAGUUUGUAUGUGGUUAACGAAUGUUGUUCGGAGUCCCGGAUGAGAUCCCGGACAUCACGAGGAGUUCCGUAAUGGUCCGGAGGUAAAGAUUUAUAUAUGGGAAGUCAUGUUUUGGUCACCGGAAAAGUUUCGGGUUUUAUCGGUAACGUAUCGGGACCACCGGGAGGGUCCCGGGGGUCCACCAAGUGGGGCCACCAUCCCCGGAGGGCUGCAUGGGCCAAGUGUGGGAGGGGACCAGCCCUAGGUGGGCUGGUGCGCCCCCCCCCACAAGGGCCCAAGGCGCCUAGGGUUGGGGGAGGGGGCGCACCCACCUAACUUGGGGGGCAAGUUUCCCCUCUCCCCCCCUUGGCCGCCACCCUAGAUGGGAUUGGGGCUGCCGCACCCCUUGGGGUGGAAACCCUAGAGGGGGCGCACCCCCCUCCCUCUCCCCUAUAUAUAGUUGAGGUCUUGAGGGCUGCCAACACAUGAGUUUCACCUCUCCCUGGCGCAACCCUACCUCUCUCCCUUCUCCUCUCCCGUGGUGCUUGGCGAAGACCUGCAGGAUUGCCACGCUCCUCCAUCACCACCACGCCGUUGUGCUGCUGCUGGAUGGAGUCUUCCUCAACCUCUCCCUCUCUCCUUGCUGGAUCAAGGCGUGGGAGACGUCACCGGGCUGUACGUGUGUUGAACGCGGAGGUGCCGUCCGUUCGGCACUAGGAUCUCCGGUGAUUUGGAUCACGACGAGUACGACUCCUUCAACCCCGUUCUCUUGAACGCUUCCGCUUAGCAAUCUACAAGGGUAUGUAGAUGCACUCUCCUUCCCGUCGUUGCUAGUCUCUCCAUAGAUAGAUCUUGGUGACUCGUAGGAAAACUUUGAAUUUCUGCUACGUUCCCCAACAGUGGCAUCAUGAGCUAGGUCUAUUGCGUAGAUUCUUUGCACGAGUAGAACACAAAGUAGUUGUGGGCGUUGAUUUUGUUCAAUAUGCUUACCGUUACUAGUCCAAUCUUGUUUCGAUGGUAUUGUGGGAUGAAGCGGCCCGGACCGACCUUACACGUACACUUAUGUGAGACAUGUUCCACCGACUGACAUGCACUUGGUGCAUAAGGUGGCUAGCGGGUGCCAGUCUCUCCCACUUUACUCGGAACGGAUUCGAUGAAAAGGGUCCUUAUGAAGGGUAAAUAGCAAUUGGCAUAUCAUGUUGUGGUUUUGCGUAGGUAAGAAACGUUCUUGCUAGAAACCCAUAGCAGCCACGUAAAACAUGCAAACAACAAUUAGAGGACGUCCAACUUCUCUUUGCAGGGUAUGCUAUGUGAUGUGAUAUGGUCAAGAAGAAUGUGAUGAAUGAUAUGUGAUGUAUGAGAUUGAUCAUGUUCUUGUAAUAGGAAUCACGACUUGCAUGUCGAUGAGUAUGACAACUGGCAGGAGCCAUAUGAGUUGUCUUAAUUUAUUGUAUGACCUGCGUGUCAUUGAACAAACGCCAUGUAAUUACUUUACUUUAUUGCUAACCGGUAGCCAUAGUAGUAGAAGUAAUAAGUUGGCGAGACAACUUCAUGGAGACACGAUGUGCCGGUGACGAUGAUGAUCAUGGAGCCCCGAAGAUGGAGAUCAAAAGGAGCAAAAUGAUAUUGACCAUAUCAUGUCACUAUUUGAUUGCAUGUGAUGUUUAUCAUGUUUAUACAUCUUAUUUGCUUAGAACGACGGUAGUAAAUAAGAUGAUCCCUCAUUAAAAUUUCAAGAAAGUGUUUCCCCUAACUGUGCACUGUUGCAAAAGUUCGUCGUUUCAAAGCACCACGUGAUGAUCGGGUGUGAUAGAUUCUUACGUUCACAUACAACAGGUGUAAGCCAGAUUUACACACGCGAAACACUUAGGUUAACUUGAUGAGCCUAGCAUGUACAGACAAGGCCUCGGAACAUAAGAGACCGAAAGGUCAAGCAUGAGUCGUAUGGAGGAUACGAUCAACAUGAAGAUGUUCACCGAUGAUGACUAGUCCGUCUCACGUGAUGAUCGGACACGGCCUAGUUGACUCGGAUCAUGUAAUCACUUAGAUGACUAGAGGGAUGUCUAUCUGAGUGGGAGUUCAUGAGAUGAACUUAAUUAUCCUGAACAUAGUCAAAAGAACUUUGCAAAUUAUGCCGUAAGCUCGCGCUUUAGUUCCACUGUUUAGAUAUGUUCCUAGAGAAAAAUAUAGUUGAAAGUUGACAUUAGCGAUUAUGCGGACAGUAGAAAGCUUAUGUCCUUAAUGCACCGCUCAGUGUACUGAACCCCAAACGUCGUCUGUGGAUGUUGCGAACAUCGGACAUACACGUUUUGAUAACUACGUGAUAGUUCAGUUAAACGGUUUAGAGUUGAAGCACCAAAGACGUUUUCGAAACAUCGCGGAACAUAUGAGAUGUUUCGAGGGCUGAAAUUGGGAUUUCAGGCUCGUGCCCACGUCAAGAGGUAUAAGACCUCCGACGAUUUUCUUAGCCUGCAAACUAAGGGAGAAAAGCUCAAUCGUUGAGUUUGUGCUCAGAUUGUCUGAGUGCAACAAUCACUUGAAUCGAGUGGGAGUUGAUCUUCCAGAUGAGAUAGUGAUGUUUCUCCAAAGUCAUUGCCACCAAGCUGCUAGAGCUUCGUGAUGAACUAUAACAUAUAAGGGAUAGAUAUGAUGAUCCUUGAGGUAUUCGUGAUGUUUGACACCGCGAAAGUAGAAAUCAAGAAGGAGCAUCAAUUGUUGAUGGUUGGUGAAACCACUAGUUUCAAGAAGGGCAAGGGCAAGAAGGGAUACCUCAUGAAACGGCAAAUCAGUUGCUGCUCUAGUGAAGAAACCCAAGGUUGAACCCAAACCCGAGACUAAGUGCUUCUGUAAUAAGGGGAACAACCACUGGAGCAGAAUUACCCUAGAUACUUGGUAGAUGAGAAGGCUGGCAAGGUCGAUAGAAGUAUAUUGGAUAUACAUUAAGUUAAUGUGUACUUUACUAGUACUCCUAGUAGCACCAUGGUAUUAGAUACCGGUUCGGUUACUAAGUGUUAGUAACUCGAAAUAAAAGCUACGGAAUAAACGGAGACUAGCUAAAGUGAGCUGACGAUAUGUGUUGGAAGUGUUUCCAAGGUUGAUGUGAUCAAGCAUCGCCUGCUCCGUCUACCAUGAAGAUUGGUGUUAAACCUAAAUAAUUGUUAUUUGGUGUUUGCGUUGAGCAUAGACAUGAUUGGAUUAUGUCUAUCGCAAUACGGUUAUUCAUGUAAGGAGAAUAAUGGUUACUCUAUUUAUUUGAAUAAUACCUUCAAUGGUCUUGCACCUAAAAGAAUGGUUCAUUGAAUCUCGAUCGUAGUGAUACCAAUUUUCAUGCCAAAAGAUAUAAGAUAGUAAUGAUAGUACCACUUACUUGUGGCACUGCCAUGUAAGUCAUAUUGGUAUAAAACGCAUGAAGAAGCUCCAUGUUGAUGGAUCUUUGGACUCACUCGUUUUUGAAAAGUUUGAGACAUGCGAGCCAUGUCUAUUGGUGUAUACGCAUGAAGAAACGCCAUGCAGAUGGAUCAUUUGGACUCACUUAAUUUUGAAUCGCUUGAGAAAUUCAAAUCAUACCACAUGGGCAAGAUGACUGAAAAGCCUCGUUUUCAGUAAAAUGGAACAAGAUAUCAACUUGUUGAAAGUAACACAUUUUGAUGUGUGCAGUCCAAUGAGUGCUGAGGCAUGCAGUGAAUAUCGUUAUGUUCUUACUUCACGGAUGAUUUAAGUAGAUACUGAGUAUGUUUACUUGAUGAAACACAAGUCUGAAUUAUUGAAUGGUUCAAGUAAUUUUAGAGUGAAGUUGAAGAUCAUCGUGACAAGAGGAUAAAAUGUCUAUGAUAUGAUCAUAGAGAUGAGUAUCUGAGUUACGAGCUUUGGCACGCAAUUAAGACACUAUGGAAAUUGUUUCACAAUUAAUACCGCCUGGAACACCAUAGUGUGAUGGUGUGUCCGAACAUCAUAGUUGCACCCUAUUGGAUAUGGUGCGUACCAUGAUGUCUCUUAUCAAAUUACCACUAUCGUUCAUGGGUUAGGCAUUAGAGACAACCACACUCACUUUAAUAGGGCACCACGUAAUUCCGUUGAGAUGACACCGUGAGAACUAUGGUUUAGAGAAACCUAAGAUGUCGUUUCUUGAAAGUAUGGGGCUGCGAUGCUUAUGUGAAAAAGUUUCAUCGUGAUAAGCUCGAACCCAAAACGGAUAAAUGCAUCUUCAUAGGAUACCCAAAAUGGUUGGGUAUACCUCCUAAUUCAGAUCCGGAAGCAAAAGUGAUUGUUUCUAGAAACGGGUCCUUUCUCGAGGAAAAGUUUCUCUCGAAAGAAUUGAGUGGGAGGAUGGUGGAGACUUGAUGAGGUUAUUGAACCAUCACUUCAACCAGUGUGUAGCAGGGCACAGGAAGUUGUUCCUGUGGCACCUAUACCAAUUGAAGUGGAAGCUUAGAUAGUGAUCAUGAAGCUUCGGAUCAAGUCACUAUCGAACCUUGUAAGACGACAAGGACGCGUACUGCUUCGAAGUGGUACGGUGAUCCUGUCUUGAAGGUCAUGUUGCCAGACAACAAUGAACCUACGAGCUAUGGAGAAGCGAUGGUGGGCCCAAAUUUCGACAAAUGGUAAGAAGCCAUGAAAUCCGAGAUAGGAUCCAUGUAUCAGAACAAAGCAUGGACUUUGGUGGACUUGCCCGAUGAUCGGCAAGUCAUUGAGAUAAAUGGAUCUUUAAGAAGAAGACGGACGUGGACAGUAAUGUCACCGUCUAUGAAGCUCGGCUUGUGGCGAAGAGUUAUUCACAAGUUCAAGGAGUUGACUACGAUGAGAUUUUCUCAUCCGUAGCGAUGCUUAAGUCCGUCGGAAUCAUGUUAGCAUUAGCUGCAUUUAUGAAAUCUGGCAGAUGGAUGUCAAAACGAGUUAGUUUUUGUAAGGAAAGGUUGUAUGUGAUACAAUCAGAAAGGUUUUGUCGAUCCUAAGGAUGCUAAAAGGUAUGCUAGCUCCAGCAAUCCUUCCAUGGACUGGAGUAAGCAUCUCGGAGUUGGAAUAUGCACUUUGAUAAGAUGAUCAAAGAUUUUGGGUUUAUACAAAGUUUAUGAGAAACUUGUAUUUCCAAAGAAGUGAGUGGGAGCACUAUAGAAUUUCUGAUGAAUAUAUAUUGUUGAUCAGAAAUGAUGUAGAAUUUUUGGAAAGCAUAUAGGGUUAUUUGAAAAGUGUUUUUCAAUAGAAAACCUGGAUUAAGCUGCUUGAGCAUUGAGCAUCAAGAUCUAUGAGGAUAGAUCAAAAACGCUAAAUGGUACUUUCAAAUGAGCACAUACCUUGACAUGAUCUUGAAGGUGUUCAAGAUGGAUCAGUCAAAGAAGGAGUUCUUGCCUGAGUUGUAAGGUAUGAAGUUAAGACUUAAAGCUCGACCACGGCAGAAUAGAGAGAAAGGACAAAGGUUGUACCCUAUUCUUAGACAUAGGCUCCAUAGUAUGCUAUGCUGUGUACCACACCUGAUGUGUGCCUUGCUACAUAUCUGGCAAGUGGGUACAAAGGUGAUCAAGGAGUGGAUCACCAGAUGGCGGUCAAAAUUAUCCUUAGAGGAAUAAGGAUAUGUUUCUCGAUUAUGGAGGUGAUAAAGAGUUCGACGUAAAGGGUUACGUCGAUGCAAGCUUUAACACCUAUCUGAGUGACUCUGAGUAGCAAACCGGAUACGUAUAGUGGAGCAACCAUUUGGAAUAGCUCCAAGUGGAGCGUGGAAGCAGCAUUUACAAUAUGACCUAGAGAUUUGUGAAGUACAUACGGAUCUGAAUGUUGCAGACCCGUUGACUAAAACCUCUCUCACAAGCAAAACAUGAUCAAACCCCAGAACUCAUUGAGUCUUAAUCACAUGAUGAUGUGAACUAGUUUAAUGACACUAGUAAACUCUUUGGAUGUUGGUCACAUGGCAAUAUGACCUAUGAGUGUUAAUCACAUGGCGAUGUGAACUGGAUUACUGGAUUAUUGACUCUAGUGCAAGUGGGAGACUGUUGGAAAUAUGCCCUAGAGGCAACAAUAAAUUAGUUAUUAUUAUUAUAUUUCCUUGUUCAUGAUAAUAGUUUAUUAUCCAUGCUAUAAUUGUAUUGAUAGGAAACUCAGAUACAUGUGUGGGUACAUAGACAACACCAUGUCCCUAGUAAGCCUCUAGUUGACUAGCUCGUUGAUCAAUAGAUGGUUACGGUUUCCUGACCAUGGACAUUGGAUGUCGUUGAUAACGGGAUCACAUCAUUAGCAGAAUGAUGUGAUGGACAAGACCCAAUCCUAAGCCUAGCACAAAGAUCGUGUAGUUCGUAUGCUAAAGCUUUUCUAAUGUCAAGUAUCAUUUCCUUAGACCAUGAGAUUGUGCAACUCCCGGAUACCGUAGGAAUGCUUUGGGUGUACCAAACGUCACAACGUAACUGGGUGGCUAUAAAGGUGCACUACAUGUAUCUCCAAAAGUGUCUGUUGGGUUGGCACGAAUCGAGACUGGGAUUUGUCACUCCGUGUAAAUGGAGAGGUAUCUGUGGGCCCACUCGGUAGGACAUCAUCAUAAUGUGCACAAUGUGACCAAGGGGUUGAUCACGGGAUGAUGUGUUACGGAACGAGUAAAGAGACUUGCCGGUAACGAGAUUGAACAAGGUAUCGGGAUACCGACGAUCGAAUCUCGGGCAAGUACAAUACCGCGAGACAAAGGGAA